RNAcentral lists this ribosomal RNA (494 nucleotides) under uncultured bacterium. RNAcentral's name for it is "partial 16S ribosomal RNA". It matches the Rfam family "Bacterial small subunit ribosomal RNA", at positions 28 to 507 of the family's 1533-position model. The record is from RNAcentral.
GACGAACGCUGGCGGCGUGCUUAACACAUGCAAGUCGAACGGUGAAGCGCCUUCCUUUUUGGUGGGUGUGGAUGAGUGGCGAACGGGUGAGUAACACGUGAGUAACCUGCCCCCUUCUUCAGGAUAACCGCAUGAAAGUGUUGCUAAUACGGGAUAUCCUGGGCCUGUCGCAUGAUGGGUCUGGGAAAGAUAUUGUUUCGGUGGGGGAUGGGCUCGCGGCGUAUCAGCUUGUUGGUGGGGUGAAGGCCUACCAAGGCAGUGAGGGGUAGCCGGCCUGGGAGGGUGGCCGGUCCGAGAGGGUGUGCGGCCACACUGAGACUGAGAUAGGGAGCAGCAGUGUAGAGUAUGCAACAGUGGGAAAUAUUACGCAGCAGCGGCGCGGCGUGUGGGAUGGCGGCCUUUGGGGUAUGAAGGUCUUUCGGCAGUGAAGCAGUUUUGCCUGUUUUGUGGGUGGGUUGACGGUAGCUGGAUAAGAAGCGCCGGCUAACUACGUG